This 492-nucleotide ribosomal RNA is filed under the name uncultured bacterium. RNAcentral's name for it is "partial 16S ribosomal RNA". It matches the Rfam family "Bacterial small subunit ribosomal RNA", at positions 29 to 507 of the family's 1533-position model. The record is from RNAcentral.
AGUGAACGCUGGCGGUAGGCCUAACACAUGCAAGUCGAACGGCAGCACAGUAAGAGCUUGCUCUUACGGGUGGCGAGUGGCGGACGAGUGAGGAAUACAUCGGAAUCUACUUUUUCGUGGGGGAUAACGUAGGGAAACUUACGCUAAUACCGCAUACGACCUACGGGUGAAAGCAGGGGAUCUUCGGACCUUGCGCGAUUGAAUGAGCCGAUGUCGGAUUAGCUAGUUGGCGGGGUAAAGGCCCACCAAGGCGACGAUCCGUAGCUGGUCUGAGAGGAUGAUCGGCCACACUGGAACUGAGACACGGUCCAGACUCCUACGGGAGGCAGCAGUGGGGAAUAUUGGACAAUGGGCGCAAGCCUGAUCCAGCCAUACCGCGUGGGUGAAGAAGGCCUUCGGGUUGUAAGGCCCUUUUGUUGGGAAAGAAAAGCAGCAGGUUAAUACCCCGCUGUUCUGACGGUACCCAAAGAAUAAGCACCGGCUAACUUCGUG